This is a long non-coding RNA of Clupea harengus (Atlantic herring), 380 nucleotides long. NCBI's taxonomy places the organism in Eukaryota, Metazoa, Chordata, Actinopteri, Clupeiformes, Clupeidae. The record is from Ensembl.
UGUCUGGCCACUGGGUUUUACCCCCGUCACAUCAACCUGACCCUGUUCAGAGAUGACCAGCCUUUGGAUAGCCACCAGAUCACUGGAGGGGAACUGCUACCUAACGGAGAUGGAACCUACCAGAUGAGGAAGAGCCUGGAGGUCAGCACAGAUGAUCUAAAGGAGAACUACCAGUACACGUGUAAGGCUGAGCAUCUCAGCCUGGACAACAAGUUGGACAUACCUUUAGAUUAUGAACCUUAUCCAGGCCAGAAACAUGUUGUGGCAGUGGUGGUUAUACCACUGGUUUGUGUAACUGUAGUCAUCAUCGUCUUCGUCUUCUGCAGGAAAAGAUGCAUGGCCAACAACAGAUGCUUGAGGAUCCACCAGGGAAGGAAGAA